ACUCGGUCUUCGAUCGCUACUCCUUGUGAGGUUAAUCCGUGAUUCGUACAACCUACACUCACCACAUUCAUUCAUACAUUAGCACACAUUAUAUAAACAAGAUUCAUUCACGUACACUUCACUAUUCGUCAUUUUUCAAACUUUAAGCAUUCCAUCUGCGUAUCCAUUUCCUGGUGAGGCUUCAGUAAUGUACCUGCAUUACUUUUCAUUCUCAAGGUACACCAUUAAAAACGUUAACACUCAACGUGACUAAAUCAUGCUUACAUACGUACUUACAUACAAACAUACAUUCACAUCUACAUACAUA
This 307-nucleotide long non-coding RNA is filed under the name Helianthus annuus (common sunflower). Its description in RNAcentral is "hypothetical non coding rna". Lineage: Eukaryota; Viridiplantae; Streptophyta; Magnoliopsida; Asterales; Asteraceae. The record is from RNAcentral.